RNAcentral lists this ribosomal RNA (252 nucleotides) under uncultured bacterium. RNAcentral's name for it is "partial 16S ribosomal RNA". It matches the Rfam family "Bacterial small subunit ribosomal RNA", at positions 524 to 776 of the family's 1533-position model. The record is from RNAcentral.
UACGUAGGGUGCAAGCGUUAAUCGGAAUUACUGGGCGUAAAGCGUGCGCAGGCGGUUUUGUAAGUCAGAUGUGAAAUCCCCGGGCUUAACCUGGGACUGCGUUUGAAACUACAAGGCUAGAGUGUGGCAGAGGGGGGUGGAAUUCCACGUGUAGCAGUGAAAUGCGUAGAGAUGUGGAGGAACACCGAUGGCGAAGGCAGCCCCCUGGGUUAACACUGACGCUCAGGCACGAAAGCGUGGGGAGCAAACAGG